GAUGAACGCUGGCGGCGUGCCUAAUACAUGCAAGUCGAGCGAACGGACGAGAAGCUUGCUUCUCUGAUGUUAGCGGCGGACGGGUGAGUAACACGUGGAUAACCUACCUAUAAGACGGGGAUAACUUCGGGAAACCGUAGCUAAUACCGGAGAAUAUUUUGAACCGCAGGGUUCAAAAGUGAAAGACGGUCUUGCUGUCACUUAUAGAUGGAUCCGCGCUGCAUUAGCUAGUUGGUAAGGUAACGGCUUACCAAGGCAACGAUGCAUAGCCGACCUGAGCGGGUGAUCGGCCCCACUGGAACUGAGACCCGGUCCAGACCCCUACGGGAGGCAGCAGUAGGGAAUCUUCCGCAAUGGGCGAAAGCCUGACGGAGCAACGCCGCGUGAGUGAUGAAGGUCUUCGGAUCGUAAAACUCUGUUAUUAGGGAAGAACAUAUGUGUAAGUAACUGUGCACAUCUUGACGGUACCUAAUCAGAAAGCCACGGCUAACUACGU
Molecule: ribosomal RNA, 496 nt
Filed under: uncultured bacterium
Lineage: Bacteria
Description: partial 16S ribosomal RNA
Rfam family: Bacterial small subunit ribosomal RNA
Source: RNAcentral